AGCUUCUAGCCUUCUCCCUCAUUGUAUGCGCCUGCGCGCAAGAUCCUGUAGACCCACCACAGCCGUACAGCUUCGGUUUCGAGAACGUUGACGAGUACGGAACGCAGCUCUACCACAAAGAGCAGGGCGACGCCAGCAAUGCCAAGAAAGGCUCGUACGGGUACAAGGAUGCAGCAGGCCUGUUCAGGCGCGUCGAGUACGUGGCUGACCUGAACGGCUACCGGGCCACCGUGGAUACCAACGAACCGGGAACGGCACCUGGCCAGACCGGCGACGCAAUUUUCAACGCCAACCCAAUCGUUGUCCAAAUCGCUAAGUCGGCCUCCGC
Rhipicephalus sanguineus (brown dog tick) is the source of this 328-nucleotide long non-coding RNA. RefSeq lists it as uncharacterized. The record is from RefSeq and is a predicted model, not a curated record. NCBI's taxonomy places the organism in Eukaryota, Metazoa, Arthropoda, Arachnida, Ixodida, Ixodidae. The transcript has 2 exons.